Non-coding RNA from Triplophysa rosa, 93 nucleotides. Lineage: Eukaryota; Metazoa; Chordata; Actinopteri; Cypriniformes; Nemacheilidae. The record is from the annotation of a RefSeq genome assembly.
GGCUCGUUGGUCUAGGGGUAUGAUUCUCGCUCAGUUGGUUAGAGCGUGGUGCUAAUAACGCCAAGAUCACGGGUUCGAGCCCCGUACGGGCCA